Molecule: ribosomal RNA, 476 nt
Filed under: uncultured bacterium
Lineage: Bacteria
Description: bacterial SSU rRNA
Rfam family: Bacterial small subunit ribosomal RNA
Source: RNAcentral
AUCAGUGGCUCAAGAACGAACGCUGGCGGCGCGCCUAAUACAUGCAAGUCGAACGGGGAAAGCCUUCGGGUGAGUACUAGUGGCGCACGGGUGAGUAACACGUGGGUAAUCUUCCUCGAAGCGUGGGAUAACUAGUCGAAAGAUUAGCUAAUACCACAUAAGACCACAGGAUCUGCGGAUCCAGAGGUCAAAGUUUUUCGCUUUGAGAUGAGCCCGCGCAAGAUUAGCUAGUUGGUGAGGUAAUGGCUCACCAAGGCAACGAUCUUUAGCUGGUCUGAGAGGAUGAUCAGCCACACUGGAACUGAGACACGGUCCAGACUCCUACGGGAGGCAGCAGUAGGGAAUAUUGCACAAUGGAGGGAAACUCUGAUGCAGCGACGCCGCGUGAGUGAUGAAGGACUUCGGUUCGUAAAGCUCUGUCGUAUGGGAAUAAGAAAGUGAAUGUACCAUGCAAGAAAGGAUCGGCUAACUUCGUG